UACGUAGGGUGCAAGCGUUAAUCGGAAUUAUUGGGCGUAAAGCGCACGUAGGCGGUUCGUUAAGUCGGAUGUGAAAGCCCUCGGCUCAACUGAGGAAGUGCACCCGAAACUGGCGAGCUUGAGUACGAAAGAGGAUCGCGGAAUUCCCGGUGUAGAAGGUGAAAUUCGUAGAUAUCGGGAAGGAACACCGGUGGCGAAGCGGCGAUCUGGUCGAGUACUGACGCGUGAGGUGCGGAAACGAUGGGAGCAACAGGGAUUAAGAA
RNAcentral lists this ribosomal RNA (263 nucleotides) under uncultured bacterium. RNAcentral's name for it is "partial 16S ribosomal RNA". It matches the Rfam family "Bacterial small subunit ribosomal RNA", at positions 524 to 784 of the family's 1533-position model. The record is from RNAcentral.